This is a non-coding RNA of Pelobates cultripes (western spadefoot toad), 69 nucleotides long. The record is from the annotation of a GenBank genome assembly. NCBI's taxonomy places the organism in Eukaryota, Metazoa, Chordata, Amphibia, Anura, Pelobatidae.
UGUGUGUGUGUCUCUGUAUGUAUGUGUCUGUAUCAUACAGACACAUACAUACAGAGACACACACACAUA